Molecule: long non-coding RNA, 353 nt
Organism: Daphnia carinata
Lineage: Eukaryota; Metazoa; Arthropoda; Branchiopoda; Diplostraca; Daphniidae
Exons: 3
Source: RefSeq, a predicted model, not a curated record
GUUGAACUAAAAAGGUUCAACAAAAGGUUGACGCCAAAAUGCGCCCUUAUGUUUCACAUGUCAGUUGGAGUUUUCUCAGGCAAAAUUUCUAGUAACACAGCAUUUGAUUUUCACAUCAGUGAGCAAGGUUCAGUUUAGGAUUGAGAGCCCUCAGCGACUAUAACACCUAGCCCAUAUUCAAAUUGUAGCACUUGAUUGCUGCCACUGAUUCUUCAAAAUGCCUAUCUUGUAUAGAAUGCUUGACAGCCAAAUGGAAUGAUUUAAACAAAUGCCAAAGGUGAGACAUGCUGGAAAAGCUUGAUAUGAAUGUGUAGACGUAGUUUUGGAAUUCAGAGGUGCAGCCGGCUGUUGGG